RNAcentral lists this ribosomal RNA (254 nucleotides) under uncultured bacterium. RNAcentral describes it as "partial 16S ribosomal RNA". It matches the Rfam family "Bacterial small subunit ribosomal RNA", at positions 524 to 776 of the family's 1533-position model. The record is from RNAcentral.
UACGUAGGAGGCAAGCGUUGUCCGGAAUUACUGGGCGUAAAGCGUGCGCAGGCGGUUUUGUAAGUCAGAUGUGAAAUCCCCGGGCUUAACCUGGGAACUGCAUUGGUGACUGGCAGGCUUUGAGUGUGGCAGAGGGAGGUAGAAUUCCACGUGUAGCAGUGAAAUGCGUAGAGAUGUGGAGGAAUACCAAUGGCGAAGGCAGCCCCCUGGGUUAACACUGACGCUCAUGCACGAAAGCGUGGGGAGCAAACAGG